Molecule: RNase P RNA, 180 nt
Filed under: Marinobacter adhaerens
Lineage: Bacteria; Pseudomonadati; Pseudomonadota; Gammaproteobacteria; Pseudomonadales; Marinobacteraceae
Description: partial RNase P RNA component class A
Rfam family: Bacterial RNase P class A
About the family: Ribonuclease P (RNase P) is a ubiquitous endoribonuclease, found in archaea, bacteria and eukarya as well as chloroplasts and mitochondria. Its best characterised activity is the generation of mature 5'-ends of tRNAs by cleaving the 5'-leader elements of precursor-tRNAs.
Source: RNAcentral
CGAGCUCGCCAGACAGUCGCCGCCGGUUUUCCGGGGGAGGAAAGUCCGGGCUCCACAGGGCAAGGUGCCAGGUAACGCCUGGGGGGCGUGAGCCCACGACCAGUGCAGCAGAGAGUAAACCGCCGAUGGCCGCUUUUGCGGAUCAGGUAAGGGUGAAAGGGUGCGGUAAGAGCGCACCGC